UGUACCCGCGGCAAGACGGAAAGACCCCGUGAACCUUUACUAUAGCUUGACACUGAACAUUGAGCCUUGAUGUGUAGGAUAGGUGGGAGGCUUUGAAGCGUGGACGCCAGUCUGCGUGGAGCCGACCUUGAAAUACCACCCUUUAAUGUUUGAUGUUCUAACGUGGAUCCGUAAUCCGGGUUGCGGACAGUGUCUGGUGGGUAGUUUGACUGGGGCGGUCUCCUCCUAAAGAGUAACGGAGGAGCACGAAGGUUGGCUAAUCCUGGUCGGACAUCAGGAGGUUAGUGCAAUGGCAUAAGCCAGCUUGACUGCGAGCGUGACGGCGCGAGCAGGUGCGAAAGCAGGUCAUAGUGAUCCGGUGGUUCUGAAUGGAAGGGCCAUCGCUCAACGGAUAAAAGGUACUCCGGGGAUAACAGGCUGAUACCGCCCAAGAGUUCAUAUCGACGGCGGUGUUUGGCACCUCGAUGUCGGCUCAUCACAUCCUGGGGCUGAAGUAGGUCCCAAGGGUAUGGCUGUUCGCCAUUUAAAGUGGUACGCGAGCUGGGUUUAGAACGUCGUGAGACAGUUCGGUCCCUAUCUGCCGUGGGCGCUGGAGAACUGAGGGGGGCUGCUCCUAGUACGAGAGGACCGGAGUGGACGCAUCACUGGUGUUCGGGUUGUCAUGCCAAUGGCACUGCCCGGUAGCUAAAUGCGGAAGAGAUAAGUGCUGAAAGCAUCUAAGCACGAAACUUGCCCCGA
RNAcentral lists this ribosomal RNA (738 nucleotides) under Salmonella enterica subsp. enterica serovar Infantis. RNAcentral's name for it is "partial 23S ribosomal RNA". It matches the Rfam family "Bacterial large subunit ribosomal RNA", at positions 2065 to 2802 of the family's 2925-position model. The record is from RNAcentral. Lineage: Bacteria; Pseudomonadati; Pseudomonadota; Gammaproteobacteria; Enterobacterales; Enterobacteriaceae.